AUUAGCCAUGCAUGUCUCAGUACUAACCGCUUUAAGGCGAAACCGCGAAUGGCUCAUUAAAUCAGUUAUGGUUCCUUGGAUCUUACCCACACUUACAUGGAUAACUGUGGUAAUUCUAGAGCUAAUACAUGAACCUCGUACCCCGACCAGUGAUGGAAGGGGUGCUUUUAUUAGAACAAAACCAAUCGGUCGGUCUUCCGUCCGUUGCCUUGGUGACUCUGAAUAACUUUUGGCUGAUCGCACGGUCGUUGCACCGGCGACGCAUCUUUCAAAUGUCUGCCUUAUCAACUUUCGAUGGUAGGUUCUGCGCCUACCAUGGUUGUAACGGGUGACGGGGAAUCAGGGUUCGAUCCCGGAGAGGGAGCCUGAGAAACGGCUACCACAUCCAAGGAAGGCAGCAGGCGCGCAAAUUACCCACUCCCGGAACGGGGAGGUAGUGACGAAAAAUAACGAUACGGGACUCAUCCGAGGCCCCGUAAUCGGAAUGAGAACACUUUAAAUCCUUUAACGAGGAUCUAUUGGAGGGCAAGUCUGGUGCCAGCAGCCGCGGUAAUUCCAGCUCCAAUAGCGUAUAUUAAAGUUGUUGCGGUUAAAAAGCUCGUAGUCGGAGGUGUGUCUCGGACGGUCGGUUCGCCGCUUGUCGGUGCUCAACUGGCCGGUCCGGACGUCCUGCCGGUGGGGCCGCGAGGCCCCGUUAUCCUUCUUUGGUCCUCUUCACCGAGUGCCUUGGUGGGCCGGCACGUUUACUUUGAACAAAUUAGAGUGCUCAAAGCAGGCCGUUGGUCGCCUGAAUACUGUGUGCAUGGAAUAAUGGAAUAGGACCUCGGUUCCAUUUUGUUGGUUUUCAGAACUCGAGGUAAUGAUUAAUAGGGACGGACGGGGGCAUUCGUAUUGCGACGUUAGAGGUGAAAUUCUUGGAUCGUCGCAAGACGAACCGAUGCGAAAGCAUUUGCCAAGAACGUUUUCGUUGAUCAAGAACGAAAGUUAGAGGGUU
RNAcentral lists this ribosomal RNA (994 nucleotides) under Calopteryx japonica. RNAcentral describes it as "SSU rRNA". It matches the Rfam family "Eukaryotic small subunit ribosomal RNA", at positions 44 to 999 of the family's 1831-position model. The record is from RNAcentral. Lineage: Eukaryota; Metazoa; Arthropoda; Insecta; Odonata; Calopterygidae.